AUGCAAGUCGAGGGGCAGCACGGUGUAGCAAUACACUGGUGGCGACCGGCGCACGGGUGCGUAACGCGUAUGCAACCUACCCAUAACAGGGGGAUAACACUGAGAAAUUGGUACUAAUACCCCAUAACAUCAGGACCGGCAUCGGUUCUGGUUGAAAACUCCGGUGGUUAUGGAUGGGCAUGCGUUGUAUUAGCUGGUUGGUGAGGUAACGGCUCACCAAGGCAACGAUACAUAGGGGGACUGAGAGGUUAACCCCCCACAUUGGUACUGAGACACGGACCAAACUCCUACGGGAGGCAGCAGUGAGGAAUAUUGGUCAAUGGACGCAAGUCUGAACCAGCCAUGCCGCGUGCAGGAAGACGGCUCUAUGAGUUGUAAACUGCUUUUGUACGAGAGUAAACGCUCUUACGUGUAAGAGCCUGAAAGUAUCGUACGAAUAAGGAUCGGCUAACUCCGUGCCAGCAGCCGCGGUAAUACGGAGGAUCCAAGCGUUAUCCGGAUUUAUUGGGUUUAAAGGGUGCGUAGGCGGUUUGAUAAGUUAGAGGUGAAAUACCGGUGCUUAACACCGGAACUGCCUCUAAUACUGUUGAACUAGAGAGUAGUUGCGGUAGGCGGAAUGUAUGGUGUAGCGGUGAAAUGCUUAGAGAUCAUACAGAACACCGAUUGCGAAGGCAGCUUACCAAACUAUAUCUGACGUUGAGGCACGAAAGCGUGGGGAGCAAACAGGAUUAGAUACCCUGGUAGUCCACGCAGUAAACGAUGAUAACUCGCUGUCGGCGAUACACAGUCGGCGGCUAAGCGAAAGCGAUAAGUUAUCCACCUGGGGAGUACGUUCGCAAG
Molecule: ribosomal RNA, 840 nt
Filed under: uncultured bacterium
Lineage: Bacteria
Description: bacterial SSU rRNA
Rfam family: Bacterial small subunit ribosomal RNA
Source: RNAcentral